Molecule: ribosomal RNA, 354 nt
Filed under: uncultured bacterium
Lineage: Bacteria
Description: bacterial SSU rRNA
Rfam family: Bacterial small subunit ribosomal RNA
Source: RNAcentral
GUAGGGUGCGAGCGUUAAUCGGAAUUACUGGGCGUAAAGCGUGCGCAGGCGGUUUUGUUAGACAGGCGUGAAAUCCCCGGGCUCAACCUGGGAAUGGCGCUUGUGACUGCAAGGCUAGAGUAUGUCAGAGGGGGGUAGAAUUCCACGUGUAGCAGUGAAAUGCGUAGAGAUGUGGAGGAAUACCGAUGGCGAAGGCAGCCCCCUGGGACGUGACUGACGCUCAUGCNCGAAAGCGUGGGGAGCAAACAGGAUUAGAUACCCUGGUAGUCUACGCCCUAAACGAUGUCAACUAGUUGUUGGGGAUUCAUUUCUUCAGUAACGUAGCUAACGCGUGAAGUUGACCGCCUGGGGAGU